This 117-nucleotide ribosomal RNA is filed under the name Photobacterium leiognathi subsp. mandapamensis. RNAcentral's name for it is "partial 16S ribosomal RNA". It matches the Rfam family "Bacterial small subunit ribosomal RNA", at positions 1425 to 1533 of the family's 1533-position model. Lineage: Bacteria; Pseudomonadati; Pseudomonadota; Gammaproteobacteria; Vibrionales; Vibrionaceae. The record is from RNAcentral.
AGUAGAUAGCUUAACCUUCGGGAGGGCGUUUACCACGGUGUGGUUCAUGACUGGGGUGAAGUCGUAACAAGGUAGCCCUAGGGGAACCUGGGGCUGGAUCACCUCCUUACCUAAAGA